GGUCGGGCCUUGCACGGAUUCUCUUUGUGAACCCCGUCAGGUCCGGAAGGAAGCAGCGGCAGCGAGGUAGGAUCGCGUUGCAAAUCAGUCCGGCUCAG
RNAcentral lists this signal recognition particle RNA (98 nucleotides) under Zetaproteobacteria bacterium CG2_30_46_52. RNAcentral's name for it is "signal recognition particle sRNA small type". It matches the Rfam family "Bacterial small signal recognition particle RNA". Rfam says of the family: The signal recognition particle (SRP) is a universally conserved ribonucleoprotein involved in the co-translational targeting of proteins to membranes. Archaeal SRP consists of a 7S RNA and homologues of the eukaryotic SRP19 and SRP54 proteins. The record is from RNAcentral. Lineage: Bacteria; Pseudomonadati; Pseudomonadota; Candidatius Mariprofundia.